GAUGAAGAACGCAGCGAAAUGCGAUAAGUAAUGUGAAUUGCAGAAUUCAGUGAAUCAUCGAAUCUUUGAACGCACAUUGCGCCCCCUGGUAUUCCGGGGGGCAUGCCUGUUCGAGCGUCAUUUCACCACUCAAGCCUCGCUUGGUAUUGGGCAUCGCAGUCCGCCGCGCGCCUCAAAUCGACCGGCUGGGUCUUCUGUCCCCUAAGCGUUGUGGAAACUAUUCGCUAAAGGGUGUUCGGGAGGCUACGCCGUAAAACAACCCCAUUUCUAAGGUUGACCUCGGAUCAGGUAGGGAUACCCGCUGAACUUAAGCAUAUCAAUAAGCGGAGGA
RNAcentral lists this unclassified non-coding RNA (331 nucleotides) under soil metagenome. Its description in RNAcentral is "partial contains 5.8S ribosomal RNA, internal transcribed spacer 2, and large subunit ribosomal RNA". The stretch from base 1 to 120 matches the Rfam family "5.8S ribosomal RNA", at positions 35 to 154 of the family's 154-position model. The record is from RNAcentral.